AUAUUAAUAAGCGGAGGAAAAGAAAACAACAGUGAUUCCCUAGUAAUGGCGAAUGAAGCGGGAAUAGCUCAAAUUUAAAAUCUCUUAGGAGAAUUGUAGUUUGUAGAGGUGGCUUCGUCGACGGCCCGGGCAUAAGCCUCUGGAACGGGGCAUCACGGAGGGUGACAAUCCCGUAAGUGGUCCGGUAGCUGUCGCAUAUGAACUGCCUUCAAAGAGUCGGGUUGCUUGGGACUGCAGCCCAAAGUGGGUGGUAUAUUCCAUCUAAAGCUAAAUACUGGCGAGAGACCGAUAGCGCACAAGUA
This 302-nucleotide ribosomal RNA is filed under the name uncultured eukaryote. Its description in RNAcentral is "partial large subunit ribosomal RNA". It matches the Rfam family "Eukaryotic large subunit ribosomal RNA", at positions 40 to 350 of the family's 3401-position model. The record is from RNAcentral.